RNAcentral lists this ribosomal RNA (502 nucleotides) under uncultured bacterium. Its description in RNAcentral is "partial 16S ribosomal RNA". It matches the Rfam family "Bacterial small subunit ribosomal RNA", at positions 30 to 523 of the family's 1533-position model. The record is from RNAcentral.
AUUGAACGCUGGCGGCAUGCCUUACACAUGCAAGUCGAACGGCAGCACGGGAGCUUGCUCCUGGUGGCGAGUGGCGAACGGGUGAGUAAUACAUCGGAACGUACCCAGUCGUGGGGGAUAACGCACCGAAAGGUGCGCUAAUACCGCAUACGACCUACGGGUGAAAGCGGGGGACCGUAAGGCCUCGCGCCAUUGGAGCGGCCGAUGUCUGAUUAGCUAGUUAGUGAGGUAAAGGCUCACCAAGGCUUCGAUCAGUAGCUGGUCUGAGAGGACGAUCAGCCACACUGGGACUGAGACACGGCCCAGACUCCUACGGGAGGCAGCAGUGGGGAAUUUUGGACAAUGGGCGAAAGCCUGAUCCAGCAAUGCCGCGUGUGCGAAGAAGGCCUUCGGGUUGUAAAGCACUUUUGUCAGGGAAGAAAUCUUUUAGGCUAAUACCCUGGAAGGAUGACGGUACCUGAAGAAUAAGCACCGGCUAACUACGUGCCAGCCGCCGCAGUAA